ACGGGUGAGUAACACGUAUGCAACCUGCCUUCAACAAGGGCAUAACCCGUUGAAAGACGGACUAAUUCCCUAUGACACAGGGGUCCCGCAUGGGGAUAUUUGUUAAAGAUUAAUCGGUUGGAGAUGGGCAUGCGUUCCAUUAGCUUGUUGGCGGGGUAACGGCCCACCAAGGCAACGAUGGAUAGGGGAACUGAGAGGUUUAUCCCCCACACUGGUACUGAGACACGGACCARACUCCUACGGGAGGCAGCAGUGAGGAAUAUUGGUCAAUGGGCGCAAGCCUGAACCAGCCACGUCGCGUGAAGGAAGACGGCCCUACGGGUUGUAAACUUCUUUUGCAAGGGAAUAAAGUUGGCCACGCGUGGCCUUUUGCAUGUACCUUGCGAAUAAGGAUCGGCUAACUCCGUGCCAGCAGCCGCGGUAAUACGGAGGAUCCGAGCGUUAUCCGGAUUUAUUGGGUUUAAAGGGUGCUCAGGCGGGGGAUUAAGUCGGCGGUGAAAUUUUGCGGCUCAACCGUAAAAGUGCCUUCGAAACUGGUUUCCUUGAGUGUGGAUGAGGUAGGCGGAAUUUGUGGUGUAGCGGUGAAAUGCAUAGAUAUCACGAGGAACUCCGAUUGCGCAGGCAGCUUACUAAGCCAUAACUGACGCUCAAGCACGAAGGCGUGGGGAUCAAACAGGAUUAGAUACCCUGGUAGUCCACGCAGUAAACGAUGAUUACUGGCUGUUUGCGAUAUAAUGUAAGCGGCUGAGCGAAAGCGUUAAGUAAUCCACCUGGGGAGUACGUUCGCAAGAAUGAAACUCAAAGGAAUUGACGGGGGCCCGCACAAGCGGAGGAACAUGUGGUUUAAUUCGAUGAUACGCGAGGAACCUUACCCGGGCUUGAAAUGCAGAUGACCGGCGCGGAGACGCGCCCUUCCCUCGGGACAUCUGUGUAGGUGCUGCAUGGUUGUCGUCAGCUCGUGCCGUGAGGUGUCGGCUUAAGUGCCAUAACGAGCGCAACCCUCAUUGUUAGUUGCCAUCAGGUUAAGCUGGGGACUCUAACAAGACUGCCAUCGUAAGAUGCGAGGAAGGUGGGGAUGACGUCAAAUCAGCACGGCCCUUACGUCCGGGGCGACACACGUGUUACAAUGGGUGGUACAAAGGGCAGCUACCGGGCGACCGGAUGCCAAUCUCCAAAACCACUCUCAGUUCGGAUCGGAGUCUGCAACUCGACUCCGUGAAGCUGGAUUCGCUAGUA
Molecule: ribosomal RNA, 1236 nt
Filed under: uncultured bacterium
Lineage: Bacteria
Description: bacterial SSU rRNA
Rfam family: Bacterial small subunit ribosomal RNA
Source: RNAcentral